GACCGCGUAGCUCAGUUGGCAGAGCAUUGGACUGGUGUUGUUCCAAAGGUCGUAGGUUCGAUUCCCACCGUGGCCU
This 76-nucleotide transfer RNA is filed under the name Paramuricea clavata. It matches the Rfam family "tRNA". Rfam says of the family: Transfer RNA (tRNA) molecules are approximately 80 nucleotides in length. Their secondary structure includes four short double-helical elements and three loops (D, anti-codon, and T loops). The record is from Rfam by way of RNAcentral. Lineage: Eukaryota; Metazoa; Cnidaria; Anthozoa; Malacalcyonacea; Plexauridae.